RNAcentral lists this ribosomal RNA (253 nucleotides) under uncultured bacterium. Its description in RNAcentral is "partial 16S ribosomal RNA". It matches the Rfam family "Bacterial small subunit ribosomal RNA", at positions 524 to 776 of the family's 1533-position model. The record is from RNAcentral.
UACGGGGGGGGCAAGCGUUGUUCGGAAUUACUGGGCGUAAAGGGCUCGUAGGUGGCCAACUAAGUCAGACGUGAAAUCCCUGGGCUCAACCCAGGAACUGCGUCCGAUACUGGUUGGCUUGAAUCCGGGAGAGGGAUGUGGAAUUCCAGGUGUAGCGGUGAAAUGCGUAGAUAUCUGGAGGAACACCGGUGGCGAAGGCGACAUCCUGGACCGGUAUUGACGCUGAGGCGCGAAAGCCAGGGGAGCAAACGGG